RNAcentral lists this ribosomal RNA (371 nucleotides) under uncultured bacterium. RNAcentral's name for it is "bacterial SSU rRNA". It matches the Rfam family "Bacterial small subunit ribosomal RNA", at positions 527 to 896 of the family's 1533-position model. The record is from RNAcentral.
AGAGGGGGCAAGCGUUGUUCGGAAUUACUGGGCGUAAAGGGCGCGUAGGCGGCCUGUUAAGUCGAACGUGAAAUCCCCGGGCUCAACCCGGGAACUGCGUCCGAGACUGAUAGGCUUGAAUCCGGGAGAGGGAUGUGGAAUUCCAGGUGUAGCGGUGAAAUGCGUAGAUAUCUGGAGGAACACCGGUGGCGAAGGCGGCAUCCUGGACCGGUAUUGACGCUGAGGCGCGAAAGCCAGGGGAGCAAACGGGAUUAGAUACCCCGGUAGUCCUGGCCCUAAACGAUGAAUGCUUGGUGUGGCGGGUAUCGAUCCCUGCCGUGCCGAAGCUAACGCAUUAAGCAUUCCGCCUGGGGAGUACGGUCGCAAGGCUG